RNAcentral lists this ribosomal RNA (255 nucleotides) under uncultured bacterium. RNAcentral describes it as "partial 16S ribosomal RNA". It matches the Rfam family "Bacterial small subunit ribosomal RNA", at positions 524 to 776 of the family's 1533-position model. The record is from RNAcentral.
UACGUAGGGAGCAAGCGUUGUUCGGAUUUACUGGGCGUAAAGGGCGCGUAGGCGGCAAAUUAAGUCAGCUGUGAAAUCUCCGAGCUUAACUCGGAACGGUCAGCUGAUACUGAUCUGCUAGAGUGCGGAAGGGGCAAUCGGAAUUCUUGGUGUAGCGGUGAAAUGCGUAGAUAUCAAGAGGAACACCUGAGGUGAAGACGGGUUGCUGGGCCGACACUGACGCUGGAGUGCGCGAAAGCCAGGGGAGCAAACGGG